Molecule: non-coding RNA, 34 nt
Filed under: Plasmodium falciparum 3D7
Lineage: Eukaryota; Apicomplexa; Aconoidasida; Haemosporida; Plasmodiidae
Source: RNAcentral
AUUCCUCAAAAUUUUCAGGUAUUUUAUAGGCAGG